GAUGAACGCUGACAGAAUGCUUAACACAUGCAAGUCAACUUGAAUUUGGGUUUUUAACUUAGGUUUGGGUGGCGGACGGGUGAGUAACGCGUAAAGAACUUGCCUCACAGCUAGGGACAACAUUUGGAAACGAAUGCUAAUACCUAAUAUUAUGAUAAUAGGGCAUCCUAUAAUUAUGAAAGCUAUAAGCGCUGUGAGAGAGCUUUGCGUCCUAUUAGCUAGUUGGAGAGGUAACGGAUCACCAAGGCGAUGAUGGGUAGCCGGCCUGAGAGGGUGAUCGGCCACAAGGGGACUGGGACACGGCCAUUACGCCAACGGGAGGCAGCAGUGGGGAAUAUUGGACAAUGGACCAAGAGUCUGAUGCAGCAAUUCUGUGUGCACGAUGAAGUUUUUCGGAAUGUAAAGUGCUUUCAGUUGGGAAGAAAGAAAUGACGGUACCAACAGAAGAAGUGACGGCUAAAUACGUG
This 467-nucleotide ribosomal RNA is filed under the name uncultured bacterium. RNAcentral describes it as "partial 16S ribosomal RNA". It matches the Rfam family "Bacterial small subunit ribosomal RNA", at positions 28 to 507 of the family's 1533-position model. The record is from RNAcentral.